AACUUUUACAAUGCGGGAAACCGUGAUAAGGGAAUCUCGAGUGCCAGCAUAUAAUGUUGGCUGUCUGGAUGCCUAAAAAGCAUCUGUUAGCAAGAGCCGGCAAGACCGGUGCCAGCCGCCGCGGUAACACCGGCGGCCCGAGUGGUAACCGCUUUUAUUGGGUCUAAAGGGUCUGUAGCCGGCCAAGUAAGUCCCUUGGGAAAUCUGGCAGCUCAACUGUCAGGCUGCUAGGGGAUACUGUUUGGCUUGGGACCGGGAGAGGUGAGAGGUACCUUGGGGGUAGGGGUGAAAUCUUGUGAUCCUCGAGGGACCACCAGUGGCGAAGGCGUCUCACCAGAACGGGUCCGACGGUAAGGGACGAAAGCUAGGGGCACGAACCGGAUUAGAUACCCGGGUAG
RNAcentral lists this ribosomal RNA (398 nucleotides) under uncultured archaeon. RNAcentral describes it as "bacterial SSU rRNA". It matches the Rfam family "Archaeal small subunit ribosomal RNA", at positions 345 to 744 of the family's 1478-position model. The record is from RNAcentral.